AUGGAUGUUGUUGUUGUUGUUGUUGUUGGAAAAAUUGUGAAAAAUAGAGAUUUGAGGAUGGUUUAAUUAGUAGGAUUUUAUUAGCAUAAUUUUCAUAGUGUUGGAAUUUUGUGGGUGAAGAUUUGGUGAUUAUUGUUGUGUAGUUUUGGCCAAAAGAAAAAGAAAAGGAAGAAGAAAAGAAAUGGAUUUGUUUUUGGAAGAAAAGGAAAAUAAAGAAAAUUGUAAAAGUUGGAUUAAAUGAGGUUUUACUGUGGUAAAGUGGUAAAAAGUGAAGAAGGUGAAAGUAAAGGUAAAUUCGGUAAAAAGGAGGUAAAAGGUAAAAGUGAAAGUGUGGAGGUAAAAGUCAUGGUAAAAGUGAAAAGGUG
This 365-nucleotide long non-coding RNA is filed under the name Rosa chinensis. RNAcentral's name for it is "sRNA RchiOBHm_Chr4g0432211". Lineage: Eukaryota; Viridiplantae; Streptophyta; Magnoliopsida; Rosales; Rosaceae. The record is from RNAcentral.